UAUGCAUUAAAAAGAUACUAAUACAUUUAAAGCCAGCAGCAGUGACACACACCUAAUCCCAACUAUCUGGGAGGCUGAGGCAAGAAGAUCACAAGUUCAAGGUCAGCCUGAACAAUAUCACCAGACCCAAUCUCAAAUAAAUAUAUAUAAAUAAAGAGUUGGGGAUGUGAUUUAGUGGAAUGCACCAGGGUUCAAUCCCCAGUAUCACCAAAAAACAUUUAAGAAAUAUGACACAUUAAGAAGGCCUCUGUAAACAUAAUCCUUUCUCAAUAUUUUUUCCUAUUCUGCUUCAUACGUAAAUAACCUAUAAAAUCAUACAUAAAACUAUCAACUCUUAUGGCCUAGAACUGCAUACACAUUUUGGAGUUUGAGAAUAAAUGUUCUCUUUGAUUUAUAGAUAACAUGCAGUAUUUGUAGUGUUUAGUUUCAUUCAAAUGCUUAUCACAAAUUCUUAUUGUCUCCCAACUUGUUCUGCUAAUAGACCUUUUCAGUUUACUGGUAAAGAUGCCAUGAAUUAAAAGUCAUAAUGGUCAAAUAAAUAUUAGAAAAAAGCAGAGAAAGUGGCUACCUAAUAUCACUAAAUCUUAUUAAAACCACUUCAGCUUGUAUGAACAACAAAAAACAUUAGUGAAGAAUGAAUACCAUUCACUUAAAAGGUAACUAACAAAAUCUAAAAUUUAGUCAACAAUGAAAUUAAAUCCAUGCAAAAAAAAUUCCACUGAGAUUCUGUUACAGAAACAGAACCAAUAACAUCCUAAUUUUCUAAAAUUUAUUUUUGAAUUAUCAUUUUGAUGAGUUAAAACUUUAAGGGUAAAUAAUGACACAAAAUGAUUUUAGAAAGGCAAACUUAUAAUUCCUGAUAUACAUUUCAUUAGUUUUUAUUUAAUGACUAGAAAUCCUUAUUCCUUCAGAAAAUAUUACAUAUUCAUUGAAACACAC
RNAcentral lists this long non-coding RNA (939 nucleotides) under Marmota monax (woodchuck). The record is from RNAcentral. Lineage: Eukaryota; Metazoa; Chordata; Mammalia; Rodentia; Sciuridae.